Small nucleolar RNA from Apodemus sylvaticus (European woodmouse), 128 nucleotides. RefSeq annotates it as small nucleolar RNA SNORA17. The transcript has a single exon. The record is from RefSeq and is a predicted model, not a curated record. NCBI's taxonomy places the organism in Eukaryota, Metazoa, Chordata, Mammalia, Rodentia, Muridae.
CCUGCCCCUCGAAGCAUUGCAGGUUUGACUGCUAUAUCACAUGUGUGUCAGUAGGUAACAUGGAGUGAUGCAACAAUGUCUAGACUCAGUGUUAUGACCUAUGGACAUCUGAUUAGUAACUUAAUACU